ACAACAAUUGAUAAUGUAUAAAUAAACUCGCUCAUGAAUUAUUUUAAGAACAUUCAAUUUUUAUUCCAAAUAUAUUAUUUGGAGUUCUUCCAUGCAUUUUUUUUUGAUAAGAUUGGAGUUGUUCCAUGCAUUUCAAUAUUGCUUAGAUGUAAUAUAAUCAUAGACCUCCAAAUGUUUCAGCUGCGUGAGUAGCAUGACUAAAACCAGGUUUCACCACUUCCUUUAAAUUUGAAUUUGUUGAGCAAUGACAAGAUAUCUUGUCCACCAAACCUCGACCAUUCCUGCAAACUUGAAAAAUCUACCAUCAAAAGUUUUUUGGUUAAUGGUGUUGAUUUAUAUGUUUAUAGAAAUUAAUUAUUCUAAAUUGUAACAGAUUAUGUUGCAACUAUAAUUCUAUUGUUGUCACAGUAAUUAACUACUAAAGACAGAGUAAAGAACAUAAGAAUUUAAUUUGGUUCAGACACAAUUGUGCCAUACAUCCACAAGGACAUGCAAAUACGAUCUCACUAGUUCAGAUUUAGAAUGUACAUUAAUAUGACUUAAUAAAAAUAAAAUAAAGACUCCCUCUUUAAUUUUUAUGCCGUUCUUGAACACAACUCGAACUUCGUGUUUUCUCCACAACAGCUCCUCUCCGCGAACAUUGAACCUUCUUUAAGCCUGAACUCCCU
Molecule: long non-coding RNA, 668 nt
Filed under: Erythranthe guttata (spotted monkey flower)
Lineage: Eukaryota; Viridiplantae; Streptophyta; Magnoliopsida; Lamiales; Phrymaceae
Description: long non-coding RNA (EGUT_LNC001630)
Source: RNAcentral